AUGGUGUCCUGGACCGACAGUGAGAGCACUGACGGCUCCGCCGCGCAGUACAUCUCCUCCGACGACUCCCCUCUCAAGGGGAUAAGCACUGGUAGGAGGUUCAUUGCUUGUGCCACUGAAGGUGUUGCAAAUUGUGGAUUAGUGCAUUCGGUAGAUGAGCAUUGGCCAGAGCAUCUGCAGAAUGCUAUUCAUAAGCUCUGGCUUAUGUAUGAGCAUAACCAGCAUGAAAACAGGAUGGCAUGCCUAGAGCAUUCAAGCACUGUACACAAUCUCACACAGCAGAAAAAAUAG
RNAcentral lists this ribosomal RNA (291 nucleotides) under Triticum aestivum (bread wheat). RNAcentral's name for it is "partial small subunit ribosomal RNA". Lineage: Eukaryota; Viridiplantae; Streptophyta; Magnoliopsida; Poales; Poaceae. The record is from RNAcentral.